UAGGGAAUCUUCCACAAUGGACGCAAGUCUGAUGGAGCAACGGCCGCGUGAGUGAAGAAGGUUUUCGGACCGUAAAGCUCUGUUGUUGGUGAAGAAGGAUAGAGGUAGUAACUGGCCUUUAUUUGACGGUAAUCAACCAGAAAGUCACGGCUAACUACGUGCCAGCAGCCGCGGUAAUACGUAGGUGGCAAGCGUUGUCCGGAUUUAUUGGGCGUAAAGCGAGCGCAGGCGGAAGAAUAAGUCUGAUGUGAAAGCCCUCGGCUUAACCGAGGAAUUGCAUCGGAAACUGUUUUCUUGAGUGCAGAAGAGGAGAGUAGAACUCCAUGUGUAGCGGUGGAAUGCGUAGAUAUAUGGAAGAAUACCAGUGGCGAAGGCGGCUCUCUGGUCUGCAACUGACGCUGAGGCUCGAAAGCAUGGGUAGCGAACAGGAUUAGAUACCCUGGUAGUCCAUGCCGUAAACGAUGAGUGCUAAGUGUUGGGAGGCUUCCGCCUCUCAGUGCUGCAGCUAACGCAUUAAGCACUCCGCCUGGGGAGUACGACCGCAAGGUUGAAAC
RNAcentral lists this ribosomal RNA (554 nucleotides) under uncultured bacterium. Its description in RNAcentral is "partial 16S ribosomal RNA". It matches the Rfam family "Bacterial small subunit ribosomal RNA", at positions 355 to 900 of the family's 1533-position model. The record is from RNAcentral.